RNAcentral lists this long non-coding RNA (856 nucleotides) under Homo sapiens (human). RNAcentral's name for it is "HSALNT0315987". Lineage: Eukaryota; Metazoa; Chordata; Mammalia; Primates; Hominidae. The record is from RNAcentral.
GUUUAGAUCCCACUUACAAGGAUCGAAAUAUUUGAACAUGUGUAAUCAAUGUUUAGAUCCCACUCAUAAGAGAGAACAUGAGAUUGGAGACUGAAAAGAAGAGAAGUUAAGGAACUUGUCUAAGAUUAUCAAGCAAAAAUUUAAAGCUGAAGUUUCAAUAUUUUCUCAGAAAACAAGAAAAGUUAGUGAUCUCAUUAUAGAAGGACUAAAAGCCUGCAAAGUAUAUUUUUGUUAACUCCAAAGGACAGACUUUCAGGGCAGUUUACCAGGAGACAGCUUUUACAAUGAGUGCACUGGCAAGAGGAAGGAAAAAGCCAUUUUUGCUGCUUCAUGUGUUGCCUACACAGAGACUGUUACAGUGGCUUCAGCAGAGUCAGUGGUUGUGUCAACAGCAUCUGGAGCAGAGAGGGCAAGCUUAGUUCAUAUGAAGCAGCAAUAGCAACAGAAGAAAAGGCAGUGACAUCACCCUCAGCUUGUUGGAGGAGCCUAUGGGCCAGCUAAUGAAAAAUACAGGAGUCUGAAUAGCAGGGGAAAGCUCUGGGUGUCAGCAAUAUAUUCAAGUAGAGAUAAACAGAAGAAGAUGUGAAGAAGUCAAUGAUAGGGUAGUAGUUCUGAACUUACCUGGUGACUAUGCCAAAUGGACAAUCAUUCAGAAAUCAGGCUCUGGGAGGUUUUUCUAUCUUCAGUAAUGCCUUCUAAGGUUUUUUGGGAAUCAUCUCCAUUCCAGCUAAUGAGAAAAGGAAGAGAGUAUUUUGGGUGUCUGGGAUUUCCUCUCUGGCACUCAUUCUCCUGUCACCCUGUGAAGAGGUGCCUUCUGCCAUGAUUAGAAGUUUCCUGAGAACUCCCCAGCCAUGCU